This 480-nucleotide ribosomal RNA is filed under the name uncultured bacterium. RNAcentral's name for it is "bacterial SSU rRNA". It matches the Rfam family "Bacterial small subunit ribosomal RNA", at positions 30 to 507 of the family's 1533-position model. The record is from RNAcentral.
AUUGAACGCUGGCGGAAUGCUUUACACAUGCAAGUCGAACGGUAGAGGGGGCAACCCCUUGAGAGUGGCGAACGGGUGAGUAAUAUAUCGGAACGUGCCCAGUCGUGGGGGAUAACGUAGCGAAAGUUACGCUAAUACCGCAUACGAUCUAUGGAUGAAAGCGGGGGAUCGCAAGACCUCGCGCGAUUGGAGCGGCCGAUAUCAGAUUAGGUAGUUGGUAGGGUAAAGGCCUACCAAGCCAACGAUCUGUAGCUGGUCUGAGAGGACGACCAGCCACACUGGAACUGAGACACGGUCCAGACUCCUACGGGAGGCAGCAGUGGGGAAUUUUGGACAAUGGGCGAAAGCCUGAUCCAGCCAUUCCGCGUGCAGGAUGAAGGCCCUCGGGUUGUAAACUGCUUUUGUACAGAACGAAAAGGUUUCUAUUAAUACUAGGAGCUCAUGACGGUACUGUAAGAAUAAGCACCGGCUAACUACGUG